Molecule: ribosomal RNA, 253 nt
Filed under: uncultured bacterium
Lineage: Bacteria
Description: partial 16S ribosomal RNA
Rfam family: Bacterial small subunit ribosomal RNA
Source: RNAcentral
UACAGAGGGUGCGAGCGUUGUCCGGAAUCACUGGGCGUAAAGGGCGCGUAGGUGGCGCCGCAAGUCCAUGGUGAAAGCUCGAUGCUCAACAUCGAGUCGGCCACGGAGACUGCGGGGCUCGAGCACUGUAGGGGCAGAUGGAAUUCCGGGUGUAGCGGUGGAAUGCGUAGAGAUCCGGAAGAACACCAGUGGCGAAGGCGACUCACUGGACACGUAUUGACGCUGAGGUGCGAAAGCGUGGGGAGCAAACAGG